GAUUUCUGAUAUGGUGCGCGUGGCCCGCUGCUGAAAGGCAUGCGAGUGUCGCUUGUGCGUCUAUCAUACUGUUAGGGAAGCUAUCUCUCUCAAGGGGUAGUUGAACUGACUCGUUUACUUUGAAGAAAUUAGAGUGUUCAAAGCAGGCUUGCGCUGUGAAUAUAUUAGCAUGGAAUAAUAAUUUAGGACUUUGAUCCUAUUUUGUUGGUUUUAAGGGUUAAAGUAAUGAUUGAUAGGGAUAGUUGGGGGUGCUAGUAUUCAUCGGCCAGAGGUGAAAUUCUUGGAUUCGAUGAAGACUAACUUAUGCGAAAGCAUU
RNAcentral lists this ribosomal RNA (316 nucleotides) under uncultured Paracercomonas. RNAcentral describes it as "SSU rRNA". The stretch from base 106 to 316 matches the Rfam family "Eukaryotic small subunit ribosomal RNA", at positions 743 to 955 of the family's 1831-position model. The record is from RNAcentral. Lineage: Eukaryota; Cercozoa; Cercomonadida; Cercomonadidae.